GAUGCCCGCUUGCUGGGCGGAUUAGUGGCGAACGGGUGAGUAACACGUGAGUAACCUGCCCCUGACUCUGGGAUAAGCGUUGGAAACGACGUCUAAUACUGGAUAUGAUCACCGGCCGCAUGGUCUGGUGGUGGAAAGAUUUUUUGGUUGGGGAUGGACUCGCGGCCUAUCAGCUUGUUGGUGAGGUAAUGGCUCACCAAGGCGACGACGGGUAGCCGGCCUGAGAGGGUGACCGGCCACACUGGGACUGAGACACGGCCCAGACUCCUACGGGAGGCAGCAGUGGGGAAUAUUGCACAAUGGGCGAAAGCCUGAUGCAGCAACGCCGCGUGAGGGAUGACGGCCUUCGGGUUGUAAACCUCUUUUAGUAGGGAAGAAGCGAAAGUGACGGUACCUGCAGAAAAAGCACCGGCUAACUACGUGCCAGCAGCCGCGGUAAUACGUAGGGUGCAAGCGUUGUCCGGAAUUAUUGGGCGUAAAGAGCUCGUACGCGGUUUGUCGCGUCUGCUGUGAAAUCCCGAGGCUCACCCUCGGGCUUGCAGUGGGUAC
This 549-nucleotide ribosomal RNA is filed under the name Curtobacterium sp. LCF50. RNAcentral describes it as "bacterial SSU rRNA". It matches the Rfam family "Bacterial small subunit ribosomal RNA", at positions 70 to 633 of the family's 1533-position model. The record is from RNAcentral. Lineage: Bacteria; Bacillati; Actinomycetota; Actinomycetes; Micrococcales; Microbacteriaceae.